This 256-nucleotide ribosomal RNA is filed under the name uncultured bacterium. RNAcentral describes it as "partial 16S ribosomal RNA". It matches the Rfam family "Bacterial small subunit ribosomal RNA", at positions 98 to 354 of the family's 1533-position model. The record is from RNAcentral.
CGGGACGGGUGAGUAACGCGUGGGUAACCUGCCUCAUACAGGGGGAUAACAGUUAGAAAUGACUGCUAAUACCGCAUAAGGCCACAGCACUGCAUGGUGCAGUGGUAAAAACUCCGGUGGUAUGAGAUGGACCCGCGUCUGAUUAGCCAGUUGGCAGGGUAACGGCCUACCAAAGCGACGAUCAGUAGCCGGCCUGAGAGGGUGAACGGCCACAUUGGGACUGAGACACGGCCCAAACUCCUACGGAAGGCAGCAG